GGAGAGGUGCCGGAGCCUGGUCUAUCGGAGUUGCCUGCUAAGCAAUUGACCUGAGUAAUCGGGUCCCUGGGUUCGAAUCCCAGCCUCUCCG
This 91-nucleotide transfer RNA is filed under the name Candidatus Omnitrophota bacterium. Its description in RNAcentral is "Candidatus Omnitrophica bacterium tRNA-Ser". It matches the Rfam family "tRNA". From Rfam's summary of the family: Transfer RNA (tRNA) molecules are approximately 80 nucleotides in length. Their secondary structure includes four short double-helical elements and three loops (D, anti-codon, and T loops). Further hydrogen bonds mediate the characteristic L-shaped molecular structure. tRNAs have two regions of fundamental functional importance: the anti-codon, which is responsible for specific mRNA codon recognition, and the 3' end, to which the tRNAs corresponding amino acid is attached (by aminoacyl-tRNA synthetases). tRNAs cope with the degeneracy of the genetic code in two manners: having more than one tRNA (with a specific anti-codon) for a particular amino acid; and 'wobble' base-pairing, i.e. permitting non-standard base-pairing at the 3rd anti-codon position. Lineage: Bacteria; Pseudomonadati; Candidatus Omnitrophota. The record is from RNAcentral.